AACGAACGCUGGCGGCAUGCCUAACACAUGCAAGUCGAACGAGACCUUCGGGUCUAGUGGCGCACGGGUGCGUAACGCGUGGGAACCUGCCCUUAGGUUCGGAAUAACUCCCCGAAAGGGGUGCUAAUACCGGAUAAUGUCUUCGGACCAAAGAUUUAUCGCCUUUGGAUGGGCCCGCGUUGGAUUAGCUAGUUGGUAGGGUAAAAGCCUACCAAGGCGACGAUCCAUAGCUGGUCUGAGAGGAUGAUCAGCCACACUGGGACUGAGACACGGCCCAGACUCCUACGGGAGGCAGCAGUGGGGAAUAUUGUACAAUGGGCGAGAGCCUGAUCCAGCAAUGCCGCGUGAGUGAUGAAGGCCUUAUGGUUGUAAAGCUCUUUUACCCGGGAUGAUAAUGACAGUACCGGGAGAAUAAGCUCCGGCUAACUCCGUG
This 433-nucleotide ribosomal RNA is filed under the name uncultured bacterium. RNAcentral describes it as "partial 16S ribosomal RNA". It matches the Rfam family "Bacterial small subunit ribosomal RNA", at positions 29 to 507 of the family's 1533-position model. The record is from RNAcentral.